CAGCACCUCAAGUGGUCAGGAUGAUUAUUGGGCCUAAAGCAUCUGUAGCCGGCGCUGUAAGUUUUCGGUUAAAUCUGUACGCUCAACGUACAGGCUGCCGGGAAUACUGCAGCGCUAGGGAGUGGGAGAGGUAGACGGUACUCGGUAGGAAGGGGUAAAAUCCUUUGAUCUAUUGAUGACCACCUGUGGCGAAGGCGGUCUACCAGAACACGUCCGACGGUGAGGGAUGAAAGCUGGGGGAGCAAACCGGAUUAGAGACCCGAGUAGUCC
This 270-nucleotide ribosomal RNA is filed under the name uncultured archaeon. Its description in RNAcentral is "partial 16S ribosomal RNA". It matches the Rfam family "Archaeal small subunit ribosomal RNA", at positions 477 to 747 of the family's 1478-position model. The record is from RNAcentral.